Molecule: long non-coding RNA, 208 nt
Organism: Alligator sinensis (Chinese alligator)
Lineage: Eukaryota; Metazoa; Chordata; Crocodylia; Alligatoridae
Exons: 3
Source: RefSeq, a predicted model, not a curated record
AUUCAUUCCCUGACUCAAAGUGACCUUAGAAUAUGCCUCCAAGAACAUGUAUGCAUACAUAACAGGUUGUCAAGUUGGAGCAAUUUAGGACAACUGUAGACAAUUUAGGAGAUACCCACAAGAUCAGCCCAGGAACCUAGACGAACCCUCAAUAUGCAUCAUGGAUACCAACAAGGGGAACAUCAGCCAACCAACUGUCAGUGCCGAC